UACGUAGGGGGCUAGCGUUGUCCGGAAUCAUUGGGCGUAAAGCGCGUGUAGGCGGUCCGGUAAGUCUGCUGUGAAAGUCGGGGGCUCAACCCUCGGAAGCCGGUGGAUACUGCUGGGCUAGAGUGCGGAAGAGGCGAGUGGAAUUCCUGGUGUAGCGGUGAAAUGCGCAGAUAUCAGGAGGAACACCAAUUGCGAAGGCAGCUCGCUGGGACGUGACUGACGCUGAGACGCGAAAGCGUGGGGAGCAAACAGG
Molecule: ribosomal RNA, 253 nt
Filed under: uncultured bacterium
Lineage: Bacteria
Description: partial 16S ribosomal RNA
Rfam family: Bacterial small subunit ribosomal RNA
Source: RNAcentral